Molecule: unclassified non-coding RNA, 674 nt
Filed under: Hevea brasiliensis (rubber tree)
Lineage: Eukaryota; Viridiplantae; Streptophyta; Magnoliopsida; Malpighiales; Euphorbiaceae
Source: RNAcentral
CUGAUAUGAGCUGGAUGUCAUUUGGUAUCAAUUCUUUAAGGUCACUUCCAUCCUUUCAUGUGUUGGCAUUGUUACAUAGCUAUCAUUUGUUAAACAAGAAACUAGGUCUUGAGUUACUUUCCUAUAGGCAUCAAUUGCUCUUCCUGCAUUUAUUCACCUUAUCCGUAGUGUGAUAUCAGAAAUCAGUCUCUUUGUUUUCCUGCUUAACCCACAUAAUCAAUUGUGUUGGUAGAGAUUGCAUUGUCAUGGCCAUGCUUGUUUUUGCUGUGUAGUUCUCAUGGCAUAUUCUUAAAUAAAAUCUUGGACGUUUUCCUUUCAAUACUUUCUUCUUUUGCUUUCGAUUUUUCUGCUUAAUGUGUCUUUAAUUUAUAAGUGUAUAGUUCUUGCCUGCUGUUUUGGUUAGUGGAAUAAAGGAGAAAGUUCUCUUUUCUGUUACUUGCACAUUUGUGUUGUCAAUUGUCAUCUAUUGAGCCAUAAUUUGCAGCUCGCAGAAUGCAAUUUAUGGUGAUGGAGGCUGGACAGGACUUGGGAGCGAAACAACCUCAGAAAAAUCAAGUGGCAAUGGUUACUCGGAGUGGUUUCUUUUGAAGGAUCAUCUGCUAGUGGGAGACAUGGUGCGUUCUAGAAAGCCAACAAAUGCACGCAAGUCAGAAAAUAUGGAUGUUCCAGAAGCA